This 21-nucleotide unclassified non-coding RNA is filed under the name Chlamydomonas reinhardtii. RNAcentral's name for it is "small RNA Cre_3118". Lineage: Eukaryota; Viridiplantae; Chlorophyta; Chlorophyceae; Chlamydomonadales; Chlamydomonadaceae. The record is from RNAcentral.
UGCGGCACUUCACGGCGUGGG